UGAUACGUUGUUGGGUAGGGGAGCGUUCUGUAAGCCUGUGAAGGUGGCCUGUGAGGGUUGCUGGAGGUAUCAGAAGUGCGAAUGCUGACAUAAGUAACGAUAAAGCGGGUGAAAAGCCCGCUCGCCGGAAGACCAAGGGUUCCUGUCCAACGUUAAUCGGGGCAGGGUGAGUCGACCCCUAAGGCGAGGCCGAAAGGCGUAGUCGAUGGGAAACGGGUUAAUAUUCCCGUACUUGGUGUUACUGCGAAGGGGGGACGGAGAAGGCUAUGUUGGCCGGGCGACGGUUGUCCCGGUUUAAGCGUGUAGGUGUGUGUUCCAGGUAAAUCCGGUUCACUUUAACACUGAGGCGUGAUGACGAGGC
Molecule: ribosomal RNA, 361 nt
Filed under: Salmonella enterica subsp. enterica serovar Kentucky
Lineage: Bacteria; Pseudomonadati; Pseudomonadota; Gammaproteobacteria; Enterobacterales; Enterobacteriaceae
Description: bacterial LSU rRNA
Rfam family: Bacterial large subunit ribosomal RNA
Source: RNAcentral